UAGCCUUGACAUAUUUUAGAACUCCGUAAAGAUACAGAGGUGCCUUCGGGAGCUAAUAUACAGGUGCUGCACGGCUGUCGUCAGCUCGUGUCGUGAGAUGUUGGGUUAAGUCCCGCAACGAGCGCAACCCUCGUCACUAGUUACUAACGGUUCGGCCGAGGACUCUAGUGAGACUGCCUUCGUAAGGAGGAGGAAGGUGAGGACGACGUCAAGUCAUCAUGGCCCUUACGGCUAGGGCAACACACGUGCUACAAUGGCCAGGACAGUGAGACGCGAUACCGCGAGGUGGAGCAAAUCUAUAAACCUGGUCUCAGUUCGGAUUGUAGUCUGCAACUCGACUACAUGAAGCUGGAAUCACUAGUAAUCGUAGAUCAGCUAUGCUACGGUGAAUACGUUCCCGGGUCU
This 405-nucleotide ribosomal RNA is filed under the name uncultured bacterium. RNAcentral's name for it is "bacterial SSU rRNA". It matches the Rfam family "Bacterial small subunit ribosomal RNA", at positions 976 to 1381 of the family's 1533-position model. The record is from RNAcentral.